AUACAGAGGGUGCUAGCGUUAAUCGGAUUUACUGGGCGUAAAGCGUGUGUAGGUGGUUGUUCAAGUCAGUUGUGAAAUCCCUUGGGCUUAACCUGGGAACUGCUUCUGAGACUGAACGACUAGAGUACGGUAGAGGGUGGUGGAAUUUCCGGUGUAGCGGUGAAAUGCGUAGAUAUCGGAAGGAACAUCAAUGGCGAAGGCAGCCACCUGGGCCUGUACUGACACUGAGACACGAAAGCGUGGGGAUC
RNAcentral lists this ribosomal RNA (248 nucleotides) under uncultured bacterium. RNAcentral's name for it is "partial 16S ribosomal RNA". It matches the Rfam family "Bacterial small subunit ribosomal RNA", at positions 523 to 769 of the family's 1533-position model. The record is from RNAcentral.